Faecalibacterium prausnitzii SL3/3 is the source of this 70-nucleotide non-coding RNA. The record is from Rfam. NCBI's taxonomy places the organism in Bacteria, Bacillati, Bacillota, Clostridia, Eubacteriales, Oscillospiraceae.
GCCAUCCGAAAAUGCUGCCUCUACGUGGCGGAUGGCAGGCAACGAGAGUUUCCUCUCGGCUAAAGCAUAU